GUGGCAGCAAAUCUAAUUCCUAAAAAUUAUUUAUUCAAACUGUAGAAUAGCUUUGUAAAGACCUUCUCUAUUUGUUUGGAUUUAAACAGAGUAAAUUCAGUGUAUAAUUCCAAUACAUCUUCAGCUAUUGAAAUUCGCAAGUCUAUGUUUUCACAUAAGGUAUACAUUUCCGAGUGGAAGGCGAGUGUAUAUCUUUUGUUCAGAUCUUUUAACCUCUCGUCCAUUACUGACACUUGUUCCAAGGCCUUUCUAAAAUGUCGUUGAUGUUUCCUCAAUUCUGCAAAUUGUUCUGUUCUGGUAUCCAUUAUGCUAUAAUCAGAGAAUUUUUUGAAGUUCAACAUGAAUAUGUAUAAUGUGAUUACCUGUCCCUCGUGUUACAAUUAAAUACUUCCAAGGUGGUCGAGUUAAUCAUCGAGUAAUAUGACUGAGUAUUGAGUUUUGACAUCAGAUAUUGAGUACUAUCUUACUAUUUCUUUUACACUUGUCAUUAUCAGGGC
RNAcentral lists this long non-coding RNA (497 nucleotides) under Mytilus galloprovincialis (Mediterranean mussel). The record is from RNAcentral. Lineage: Eukaryota; Metazoa; Mollusca; Bivalvia; Mytilida; Mytilidae.